Molecule: ribosomal RNA, 882 nt
Filed under: uncultured archaeon
Lineage: Archaea
Description: bacterial SSU rRNA
Rfam family: Archaeal small subunit ribosomal RNA
Source: RNAcentral
GUUACUGCUAUCGGAGUUCGAUUAAGCCAUGCGAGUCUAAAGGUUUCUUCGGAAGCCUUGGCGGAUUGCUCAGUAACACGUGGAUAACCUGCCCUUAGGUCUGGCAUAACCCCGGGAAACUGGGGAUAAUACCGGAUAGAUCAGGGGUCGCUGGAAUGCGCCCUGAUCCAAAGCUCCGGCGCCUAAGGAUGGGUCUGCGACCUAUCAGGUUGUAGUGGGUGUAAUGUACCUACUAGCCGACGACGGGUACGGGUUGUGAGAGCAAGAGCCCGGAGAUGGAUUCUGAGACACGAAUCCAGGCCCUACGGGGUGCAGCAGGCGCGAAACCUUUACAAUGUGCGAAAGCAUGAUAAGGGAACUCCGAGUGCCAGCAUUAAAUGUUGGCUGUCCUUGUGCCUAAAACGCACAAGAUAGCAAGGGCCGGGUAAGACCGGUGCCAGCCGCCGCGGUAACACCGGCGGCCCGAGUGGUAGCCGCUAUUAUUGGGUCUAAAGGGUCCGUCGCCGGUUUGAUAAGUCCUCUGGGAAAUCUGAUUGCUCAACAAUCAGGCUGCCAAGGGAUACUGUCAAACUUGAGACCGGGAGAGGUAAGAGGUACUUCAGGGGUAGGAGUGAAAUCUUAUAAUCCUUGGGGGACCGUCUGUGGCGAAGGCGUCUUACCAGAACGGGUCUGACGGUGAGGGACGAAAGCUGGGGGCGCGAACCGGAUUAGAUACCCGGGUAGUCCCAGCCGUAAACGAUGCUCGCUAUGUGUCAGAUACGGUGCGACCGUAUCUGGUGCCGUAGGGAAGCCGUGAAGCGAGCCACCUGGGAAGUACGGCCGCAAGGCUGAAACUUAAAGGAAUUGGCGGGGGAGCACUACAACGGGUGGAGCCUGCGGUUU